RNAcentral lists this ribosomal RNA (422 nucleotides) under uncultured bacterium. RNAcentral describes it as "bacterial SSU rRNA". It matches the Rfam family "Bacterial small subunit ribosomal RNA", at positions 355 to 774 of the family's 1533-position model. The record is from RNAcentral.
UGAGGAAUAUUGGGCAAUGCCCGCAAGGGUGACCCAGCAACGCCGCGUGGAGGAUGAAUGUCGUAAGAUUGUAAACUCCUGUUAGAGGGGAAGAAUAGUACCGGUUGGACCGGUAUAUGACUGUACCCUCAGAGAAAGCCCCGGCUAACUACGUGCCAGCAGCCGCGGUAAUACGUAGGGGGCAAGCGUUGUCCGGAUUUACUGGGUGUAAAGGGCGCGCAGGCGGGAUAAAAAGUCAGUGGUGAAAUCCUACAGCUUAACUGUAGAACUGCCUUUGAUACUUUUAUUCUUGAGUGCGGGAGAGAGAGACGGAAUUCCAGGUGUAGUGGUGAAAUACGUAGAUAUCUGGAAGAACACCAGUUGCGAAGGCGGUCUCUUGGUCCGACACUGACGCUGAGGCGCGAAAGCGUGGGGAGCAAACA